This is a long non-coding RNA of Mirounga angustirostris (Northern elephant seal), 1540 nucleotides long. RefSeq lists it as uncharacterized. The transcript has 3 exons. Lineage: Eukaryota; Metazoa; Chordata; Mammalia; Carnivora; Phocidae. The record is from RefSeq and is a predicted model, not a curated record.
CCGUAAGACACUUUGUAUAUGGCCAUUGUGUUCUUUUUUAACAGCCUUCUUUAGGGAAAAGGGCAAUUACUUUCACUGUUGCCCACUCUAUGAUGACAAGUGGGGAGAGGACACUAGAAGAGGUUCUAUAUAGUUAGUAUGAGAGCCUCCAUUGUUCUACCUACGCUUGCACCUUAUGUCAUUUUUCUCCCCAUUUGGACAGAUCGGGAAUGCAUUUGAUUCAAUUUCCAUUGAGAGACUUCCUAUAUUCAGGAAUACGUAUCAAAAGAAUGCCAAUGAGCAUAAAACAAAAACGGUCUGCAUUUCAUAGGAACCCGAUUUCAACGGUCCUAACAACAAAAAGAAAAGAAACACGCUAUUAAAGUAGCCCUCCCAAGGGGCUGCCAGCUGCUUUUCAGUGCGUCCUGAGCCGGUGUCUUCUCUCCUCCGCGGGCUGCUCAGAUAUUCCUGAAUCGCUGCGCCUUCAGCAGCGCUUUCUCUCUCCCGCUGCCUCCCUGGCGCGGCUCUCCCUCCCUCCCUCCUUCCCUCCCUCGGCUUCUGCUCUUUCUUACUCCGCUCAGCUGCUUAACUACAGCUCCCACUGGAACUCGCACGAUCAAAACCAGCUCUCCUCCGGAGCCGCCUGCAGCCGCGCAUCACCUGGAGCCGGGCGGCGGACCCCGCGCGCCCGCCGCAGAGCCGCCAGGUAGCUGGGGGCGCGCAGGGGGUGCCCGUCUCCGGCUCGCCAGCCGCAGAGCAUCUCCCCGGGAUCCGCCGUACGCAGCCUGCGGGGCCGGCCGCGCCGAUGCCCGCGUUUCGGAGCAGCGAUGGGAAGAGCAAAGCCACUGGCCGUGGCAACUGAGAGUGGGGAGAGGUUGCGGCGGUAGAGUCGCUGCAGAAUGUGUGAGUGAAGACCGGAGCCCCGCCAGGUUCUCCAUCCCGCUCCGUCUUCGCUGUGUCCGGGAGGGCAGCCGGGGACCCGCUGCACUCUCCAGGCGGUGCCACCCUGGAUCUAUAACCGUGAACUCCCUACUGUGGAAAAUGGUAAACAAAGACAUGAAUGGAUUCCCAGUCAAGAAAUGCUCAGCCUUCCAAUUUUUUAAGAAGCGGGUACGAAGAUGGAUCAAGAGCCCAAUGGUCAGUGUGGACAAGCAUCAGAGUCCCAGCCUGAAGUAUACAGGCCCCUCAGUCAUGCACAUCCCUCCAGGAGAGCCAGAUUUUGAGUCUUCCUUGUGUCCAACGUGCCUGGGAGACCAUGCUUUCCAAAGAGGUGUUCUCCCUCAGGAGAAAGAGUCAUGUUCAUGGGAAACUCAAUCCGGGUGUGAAGCGAAAGAACCAUGUAAUCAUGCCAGCAUCCUGACCAAGCCUGACCCAAGAACCUUCUGGACUAAUGAUGAUUCAGGUAUUAUUGGAAAAAUACACUCUGGCCCUGUGAUGUACAAGAAGCAUUCUGUAGUAAAGCCCUACACAAAGGCAAGGUUUGGGGGGAAAUUGUGUUUUGCUUGUUUGUUUCUUUGUUUAUACCUAGUCCAACACUUGACUAUACUUCAUAUAUAUAAUU